AAUGAAUUGCCUGACAAAAGGGUUACCUUGAUAGGGUAAAUAAUGCAAUUAGUAUUGCAUUCAUUA
Molecule: transfer RNA, 66 nt
Filed under: Bactrocera dorsalis (oriental fruit fly)
Lineage: Eukaryota; Metazoa; Arthropoda; Insecta; Diptera; Tephritidae
Also listed under: 4 other names
Description: tRNA-Ile
Source: RNAcentral